This 354-nucleotide ribosomal RNA is filed under the name Exechia seriata. RNAcentral's name for it is "partial 12S ribosomal RNA". The record is from RNAcentral. Lineage: Eukaryota; Metazoa; Arthropoda; Insecta; Diptera; Mycetophilidae.
AAAAAAUGUAAGUACAGAAAAAUAGAGUAGUAAUAGUUAUAUUCUUAAAACUUAAUAAAUUUGGCGGUAUUUUAAUCUAGUCAGAGGAACUUGUUUUAUAAUUGAUAAUCCUCGUUAAAUCUUACUUAAUUUAAUUAAUUUGUAUACCAUCGUCAUAAGAAUCUCUUAAAAAAGAAAAAAUUUUCUUAAUAAUUAAUUAAUUUAUAUGUCAGAUCAAGGUGCAGUUUAUAGUUAAGAAAAAAUGAGUUACAAUAAAAUUAUUUAUACGGAUAUUUAAUUUAAAUAUUAAAUUAAAGGUGGAUUUGACAGUAAAAUAAAUAAUAGAGUUUAUUUGAUUUUAGUUCUAAAAUAUGC